This is a long non-coding RNA of Salvia miltiorrhiza (redroot sage), 1104 nucleotides long. RefSeq lists it as uncharacterized. Lineage: Eukaryota; Viridiplantae; Streptophyta; Magnoliopsida; Lamiales; Lamiaceae. The transcript has 2 exons. The record is from RefSeq and is a predicted model, not a curated record.
CUCCCACUUUCCCUCCCACUAAUCCUAUCCACCACUAUACUGUCAUCAUCAUCAUGCCCUUAUCAUCAAUACCCCAACACGCCUCCUGCAAAAUUCAGCCAAGAAUAACAGGAAGCACUAUGACAACAGCCGCACGCCUCAACAUAUAGUUCCAAAGGCUUUGUGACCAGGGGGAUUAGCGCUGCUUUCCCAAGACAGGUUUAUAAGUGAUUAUGAUCUUCAGGCUUUGCCUAACCAGGUGGGCUUACUUUCCAAAUGUACAAAGUAUGAUUGAGUUAUUAAGCUCUAAAUGUUUCAAUGAAAUGCAAAUUGUUUAUUUAAUGUAAUGAAAACUGUUUAUCCAAUAAAAUAUUUUGUGCACUCUGCUCUGUUUAAGGCUCGCAUAAGUUAAUCGAUCGAGGUUCUCUUAUGACCUAACACGUUGUUUGAGAAUUGUGUACACCUAUUAGCUGACUCGGUGGGUUGAUCUCCAUUCGGGCACUAAUCAUGUAUGAGGCGUUAUAAGGGUGCUCGACGGGAUGUGUUCCAGAGCAUUGGGUCCCAAAUGGGAACUUGACUGGGUUACGCCCUCAGUUCAAGUAAAGCGGGAGAUAUGGAUCCGUCGGUGGCUAAAAGGUCCGGGAUCACAGCGAGUAACGGAAAGGGAGUGUGACAUGUGCGCACAAAUGAAAGAAAAUAUUUUAACAUGCUUAGAAGUACUUCUUUCAAUUUAAAACCUUCUAAGUCAUGUCAAGUAUGAUUGGAUAAACUGUCUUUAAGAAAAUAAUGAAAUGUUUAUGAAAAUGCAUGCCCACUAAGUACAUUAGUACUUAGCCCAAAAAUACUUUCAAAUGUUUUCAGGUUGGCUGGCCGGUGCUGACGGGACGGAGCUGAGGCUAGAGUUAAAUUCCUAUGUUAGACUUCCGCUGUAGCAAUUACUCUUAUACAUCUUUUGUUUUCUCAACUUAAGAUGACUUCAUGUCGAGCUUAAAUUUGAAAUUCUAGUUUUAUGCUAAUGAAUGUUGGUUGUCAGAAACAUGAAACAAAACUUGUGAUCCAAAGGGGCAUAGCCCGACUUUCUAUCCUAUUUCGGGUUUUUACAAGGUUGUUCCUUGUUUAUUUCUA